Phthorimaea operculella (potato tuberworm) is the source of this 72-nucleotide non-coding RNA. The record is from the annotation of a GenBank genome assembly. Lineage: Eukaryota; Metazoa; Arthropoda; Insecta; Lepidoptera; Gelechiidae.
GCGCCCAUAGCUUAGUUCGCAGAGCGGUGAGACGGUUCCCCACGGUCCCGGGUUCAAGUCCCGGCGGCCGCU